UGCGCCGGGGCCGGCUGCAGCGGGAGCCCGGGUCCGCCGCUCUGGGCGGCAGCGCGGGGAUAAAUGAGCCUUUCAGAGCGCGCAGCCCGAGCUCCCUCCCCGGGGAGGCCGGGAAUUUCCAUCCUGUAACCGAGCGAGACGGCCGGGCAGAGCCACCCCCCCGCAGCCAUUGGCACGGGGCCGGGGGCUCCCUCCCCCUCGGCCCGGCCCCGCCGAGCUUUCCCCGGGCGAUGGAGCCCCCGGCCGCGCCGCGCCGAGCGGCAGCAGCGCUGCGGGCCCCUCCCGGCUCUCCCGCAGCCCCUCCCGGCUCUCCCGCAGCCCCAGGCAGUUCGCUUCCACGUUUUCAGGUGUUCGCUCGGCAGUCGGUAACUCCUUUCCGAUGAAGGAGCUGCUGUCUCGGCAAGAAACCGCCUAACGCCACAACGGGAUCCUGAUGCACCGUGAGGGGAAACUGUGAUAAAACAUCAGCUGGACAUCAAUCACAGAAUUAAUUUUAACAGAAGUCAAGGAAAGAAUGCUACAAGAAGUUGAGUCAUUCAAAUAGGCUGCACAGAACCACAGAAGACUGAACCCCUACAUGUGGCUCUGCACUUUAAGCCACUCCUGCCUUUCUCCCCUUUCCAUGUCUGUACUGGUGGAACUAUAGCAGUGAAGUGAGAUUUACAGCACAGGUCAGUCACACUGCUGUCAUCAACCCUGUCACUCGCUGUCCUGAGAACUGGGACUGAUGUCAGCCACAUUGCUGAGGUGAGGGCUCCUACCUUGUGAAGAAGGGCAGCAUUACACCUUGCCAACUUCAAAAAACAGCUGGUAAAUAAUAAUGGUUCCCUAAACCAGUUGGGAAAAUUUAUGGAAUGAUGUAAAUCCUUAAUUGUAGUACUGCUUUGGUGACAGCCUCAGUCAGCAUCCACAAACACACACAGGCAGAAGCUUCAUUGAGCAAUUGUGCAGUGCUGUCAGCAACCCCUGCUGCCUCUGGCCCGGGCUGAUGGCAAUACUGUGAAGGUGGUGAUGUUUGAUUUCUGUGUCACCUGCAUGUUCACACAGGCAUCCUUACCAAGGGCUGGGGAUCCUCAGCAUCAACACAGGCUGUUGCUAAGGCGUGUCCCUUCACAGAGUGCCAAACUUUUGUAUUACAGAAUUAAUUUCCUCAGGCAAGGUGCAGCAGAUGUAGCACACAGUGCAGCAGCACUAAGGCAACCAGGAUUUUAGAGAACAAAAUUUGCAUGGACAUUCAUGAUUAUUUCCCCACCUGGCUUUGGUCACCAUUAAUUUGAGUGUGGAUUAGAAGCUUUGAAGUUCCAAAGGGCUUUGCCAGAGGAAGAAAACUUCGGAGCACUGUAAGAGAAGGUCUUAGCAAACGAUGGUGGGACAUCUGCUUUGAGCUCUGGUGAGUGCCUUGUGCAGUUCCUAGCACUCAUUUGACUUGCAGUGUGCAUUUCCAUCUGGAAAACAGAAAUGUCAACAUCCUCCUUAACCUGCUUCAGUUCAAGCAAGCCUUGCCAUCUGUUAGGCUUAUGUUCUGUGGGCUUCUGAUAUAUUUAAAUGGUUCUGAGGGCAUCAACCACUGCUGAAUGCUGGUAAGAUACUCAAACUGAAUCAGAACUACUGAUCUACUUUGCCUUAACUAUUUUGCAGCUAAAAGGAGCUGUGGUAAUAAAAUUGCCUGAGCAUCCACUGACCACGAUCCAUAUUACAUCAAUUAGUGAUUCCUUCCUUUUAUCCAUACUGCCAUAUGAUAUAGGCUUUAUCUUUAUCUCACAAACAUAUCAGCAAACAUUACUAGUUGCUACAUCCACCACGUAAAUGUCACUGAAAUCUCCCAGAUGGCCAGUUUGCUCCUGCACAGCCUGGGCAGGCUCACACAAGGUCACCGUGGCACAGUCAGUGCAUCUUGCACUGCAGAUGCUCAUAUGAUGAGGCUGAUGCCAUGAGUGCAGUCUCUCUGCUGCAGCUUGAGCUACUUCCCCCCCCUCACAUAGCCUCUCAGCAUCCCAAAAAUCCAGACACACAAGUCUGGAGAGGAGGAUGUUCCCAUACACACAUCUUUCCAUUCACCUCAGCCAUAACAUGCUUAAAUUCAAGAGACUGCCCGUGGGGUCAUUGGGUCUCUCUGCCUUUCCUGUGCAAACAAUUCCAGUUUAUGAAUACUGUUUGUUAGCACACUGUUUUGAAUUCAACCAGUAAAUAAUUGUUAUUCAAUUCAAUGGUUAUUCAAUCCUUAGUCUUUACAGCAUGAAAUAACUGCAGGGAACCGGAAACACCAGACUUAGGUGUCUAAAUAUUACAGAAAGCUCAAGGCUGAGGAUCCUGAGACAAAAGAGGCCCAGUAAGGCUGCUGGUCUGAUCAAGGAGACAAAGAGCUGUCUGUACUGCUGUAGAAGAAAACCAAACUAAGAGCUCUCGGGUAAUUUAUUACAGAUUUAAGAAAUGGAUUCCAACUUCUUCCACAAAAAAACCCUUUGGAAUUGCAUAAAAAUGAAUGGGAUUUUGGCCUUAGUCCCUUCUAAGACCUCUUAAUUUAAAUAUAUGAUUCAUAUAGCAUGUGUAAUAUUAAAAAAAAUCCAAAAAUCUCUCCCUCUCUUUUAUUGCUUUACUAGCACACAUAUACCUAUUUUUAAAAAGUCUUCCAGUAGCUUCUACAUAAAAUGAUCAAAGCAUUACAGCCACAGCAGUGCUUUGCAGGUACAUAUAUUAACAUUUGAAUCUUAAAAUCUUAUUUGGGGCAUGUGCUCACCCUUCUGCAGAAGAGGAUUCCUGUGUUCAUAUACAGGAGGACAGCAUUUUAUGAGUGUGAGGAAAAAAAAUAUCCUGGAGUUAAGUGUUAAUUCUUCACUUCUGAAUAAGCUCACGUCAGUUCUUAAUGUUACUAUAGGAAAUGUAUUUUUACACAAUAGAAAACAUGAGAGAAUCAAUACUUUUUAUUCUUCAUAUUAAUUAUGUUUUCUAUGGAGAUAAAUCUUUAACAUUGUCUCUGACAAUUCAAGAGCAAGACAUAGGUCAGAUACCAGUGAAAACUUAUGGAAACAGUUUCUUCCACUGCCUGCUGCAGUUCCAGGCAGAUCUGUUUUUUUCUGUCCAAGCCAUCAGCUGAUUUAUAGUUGCAUUUCCCCAUAGCUGUGCUUUUACAAUAAUAAUGAUGGCACUGAAUAUUUUAAACUAAACACUAUUCACAAACAGUCAGAGAGAGAUAAACUUUAAUAAAACUAUUUGGGAGAACUGUCUGCUUCACUGAUAAAGAAUAACUCUGGACACCCAGAUAAUUCCAUAGUGUAAACUUUAUGAUGAAAAGCCCAUACAGUUUCUAUUGACUGCUGGUUGCAAAUUUCUGGUCUGUACCUCUGCAAGUCUGCACCCAAGAGCAGCUGGCGCAAUCCCAGCUGCAGUCAUGGAAACAUUUGGGUCUGCAGGGGGAUCUGGAGCACGUCUGAAGCAGGUCCACUUAGAUUGGGUUGUUCAAGGACUUGCAGAAUGGGAAAAUUAUUUCAGUCCAGUUUUAAAUUAAAUUCACUGGGUGUCCAGUGAAUCAUCAUGUGCAAGGGGAGAGCUGAGUCUCAGGAGGAACAUUUGCUCAUUAGAGUGGCUGCGAAUUAGUCAGUGGUAGAAAAAUCACUUGGCUACCUCACGAAACCUCAGUGAAUAGAAAGGCUUAUACAGAACUGAAAAGUUAACUUUCCUUAAAUCCUGUGCUAAUAAAUGGUUAUUAGGAUGUGAAAUACAGUGCUCCAUUCAGAUAGGAAGGCUUCUUCCAAUGAAGGGCACAAUCUGUGUUUUUCUACACCAUUCAUCAAAUGCAUUGCCAGAAGUUUGUCCUUCCAGUUUUGGAAAGCAGUGCCUCAAAUUAGUGAUAAUCCCGAAAUUAAAGGAAUAGACUUGAACUUUGAAAUGUUCUCUUUUAUUUGUGUCCAGUGAGGCCUUUGAAAAGGAGUUCCUCAGGAUAAGCAAGCUCUGAGCAGGGCUGAGGCAGUGCUCUGUAGCCCUUCAAGGUGGCUUACAGAAACAGAUGCCUAUAGCCACCAUAACAGGCACACACAAAAUGCACAGAAGCGUACGGAUGCAAGAAGGUUUCAUCAAAGAAACAAACUAAUCGGCCCAGUUGCACAAAACUCAGGAGAGAGACAAGCAGAGUCACAACAAUGACAGAUGGGAACGUGUGUGAUUGCUGCAGCUCUGCUUCUUGGAUGUAGUGGUGGAGCUUGAAGCCCGUGGCAUUCCUGUGACCUGGCUCCUCACACCCACACUGACCUCAGUGAAAAAGUCCCAUGCCUUGAGGCAAGCAGGGCUGUGGAGCUUCUGGGCAGCACCCCCAGCAUCUGCUCACAGAUGACUCACAGUCACUGAAAUGGCAGUGGAUGGACUGGGGCUGCUGGGUCAGGCACAGUGAGGUUUACAAGUGGUUCAGUGGGGUCAUCCUUUAGCCCUGAGGAUACUUCCACAGGUAAACUCUUGCAUUAAAAUUGUUUUAUGUGCUUAUAUAGGAAUCCUGUUUGACUUGCAUCAACAACUGACUAGUGCAAUGGCACUGGGAAGGAUCAAGCACGCGAAUCCCUGGCUCAUGUGGAGAUUGUGUUCGGCCAGAAUAGCAAAAGACCCACCAGGUUCCUGUGAAGAAAAAUGUGGUUUUGAGCCCUCUUUAAGUUAUAUUUUUACAGCAGGUGCUCAUCUAACUAUGCUUUUGUGAGCAUAACUUAGCGUGGUUUCCUUGUAACUUUGCUGUAAUUACAGGAUCUCUUAAUUGAUUAAAGAUCUUAUUUAUGAGUUCAUAAUUUCCCGUUGUCAAGUAGAGGAACUUUCAGGAUGUGUGCCCUAAAAAUGCUGUUGAGGUUCUAUUCAUUUAAAAGGAAAAGUCCUCCCUCCUUUUUUUUUUGUGUUUGUGUGCUUUCUUGGGUUUUCCUGCUGGUUUGGUGACUGUCCAUUUCUCUCCAUACGGAAUCUCCUCACAACUAUCAGCAUCUUUCGGUGUCUUUCUCAGGAUAAUCUUGCCUACUAAAAGUUUAAGAAAAAUUUUAAGAAAAAUAAAUUAAUUUCCAUGGUGAGCCCUGACUUCAGCCCGCCCAACACAUUUGCAUUUCAUCCACUCACUGGCACAUCACACCUGUCAGUGCCAUGUCUCCACAUUACACAGAAUGACACGUGUCUGGAUUAUUUAUCCCUGUAGUGCAUCCACUUGUUCUUUACUUGGAAGUCUGGAUCACAGCCAUGCCUGUAGGAAUCUGGAAGGAGAGCAAGUCCCAUAUAGGACUGUGUCCAAAGGGCAACAUUGGUGACUCAAACCCAGUGCCAAGGAACAUGUUCAGCUGCUUCAGCUUCCUCAAGGCCUCCAUCUUCAAUCAUUCAAGAAUUACAUGCACUCUUGGAUAGUAGGUAUGAUACUACCAGAAUUGGGUCUGGAGAGAAUGGUUCUUAGAUAGCUUAAGCCUUCAACUAAUAACUAAUUUACUAGUAAUUUCUUGUGAUCCAGUUUCAUGUGGUAAGGUAGAACAUCACGAAGAUAAGCUGGGACAUUCAUUGUCUUCUUAGUCCUUCAUACAUGACCAGCGUUUAACAUCCUUUUUCCUGUUAAGACCGCUUUGGUGGCCAUUUCUAAUCAUCCCACCCUCACCCCUGUGGCAAACCUACUCAACGGCAAUAAAUGUUUUCUUGCUAUUUCUCUUCACCUUCUAUGGAAAAAAAAUAGUCCUAAAAUACCUUUCCCCUUAAAAUACCUGAUGUUCUCUCAUGACUAUGCUUCUGUACCUGAGUGUGCUCUCUGGGAGGGAGGUCAGUACCCCUCCACAUCACCUCUGCCCAGUACCAAGUCUCUGUUUAGCACUGCCCUUCCACAAAAAAUGCUUUCUUCCGAACAGCAGGAACUAUUCCCCUCUCCAGCUCCUGUCUCUGCUAAGAAACAAGCUGUGACCUAUUUAAUGAAUGUAGAUCAUUUGUUUAAAGAUCUCAUUGGCCAUUACUUUAUUUCGACUAGUAAAACCUGAAAUAAAGCAAACCUUUAUUUUA
Molecule: long non-coding RNA, 5994 nt
Organism: Corvus hawaiiensis (hawaiian crow)
Lineage: Eukaryota; Metazoa; Chordata; Aves; Passeriformes; Corvidae
Exons: 3
Source: RefSeq, a predicted model, not a curated record